This 369-nucleotide ribosomal RNA is filed under the name Yersinia pestis Pestoides A. RNAcentral's name for it is "bacterial SSU rRNA". It matches the Rfam family "Bacterial small subunit ribosomal RNA", at positions 33 to 398 of the family's 1533-position model. RNAcentral also lists the same sequence under 1 other name. The record is from RNAcentral. Lineage: Bacteria; Pseudomonadati; Pseudomonadota; Gammaproteobacteria; Enterobacterales; Yersiniaceae.
ACGCUGGCGGCAGGCCUAACACAUGCAAGUCGAGCGGCAGCGGGAAGUAGUUUACUACUUUGCCGGCGAGCGGCGGACGGGUGAGUAAUGUCUGGGGAUCUGCCUGAUGGAGGGGGAUAACUACUGGAAACGGUAGCUAAUACCGCAUGACCUCGCAAGAGCAAAGUGGGGGACCUUAGGGCCUCACGCCAUCGGAUGAACCCAGAUGGGAUUAGCUAGUAGGUGGGGUAAUGGCUCACCUAGGCGACGAUCCCUAGCUGGUCUGAGAGGAUGACCAGCCACACUGGAACUGAGACACGGUCCAGACUCCUACGGGAGGCAGCAGUGGGGAAUAUUGCACAAUGGGCGCAAGCCUGAUGCAGCCAUGCC